AUUGAACGCUGGCGGCAGGCCUAACACAUGCAAGUCGAACGAGUGGCGGACCGGUGAGUAAUGUCUGGGAAACUGCCCGAUGGAGGGGGAUAACUACUGGAAACGGUAGCUAAUACCGCAUACCAUCAGAUGUGCCCAGAUGGGCUUAGCUAGUUGGUGGGGUAACGGCUCACCAAGGCGACGAUCCCUAGCUGGUCUGAGGGGAUGACCAGCCAAACUGGAACUGAGACACGGUCCAGACUCCUACGGUAGGCAACAGUGGGGAAUAGUGCACAAUGGGCGCAAGCCUAAUGCAGCCAUGCCGCGUGUAUGAAGAAGGCCUUCGGGUUGGAAAGUAAUUUCAGCGGGGAGGCGUUACCAGAAGAAGAAGCACCGGCUAACUCCGUGCCAGCAGCCGCGGUAAUUC
This 406-nucleotide ribosomal RNA is filed under the name uncultured bacterium. Its description in RNAcentral is "partial 16S ribosomal RNA". It matches the Rfam family "Bacterial small subunit ribosomal RNA", at positions 30 to 526 of the family's 1533-position model. The record is from RNAcentral.